Molecule: ribosomal RNA, 253 nt
Filed under: uncultured bacterium
Lineage: Bacteria
Description: partial 16S ribosomal RNA
Rfam family: Bacterial small subunit ribosomal RNA
Source: RNAcentral
UACGUAGGGACCAAGCGUUGUUCGGAUUUACUGGGCGUAAAGGGCGCGUAGGCGGCGUGUUAAGUCAGCUGUGAAAUCUCCAAGCUUAACUUGGAACGGUCAGCUGAUACUGAUGUGCUAGAGUGCAGAAAGGGCAAUCGGAAUUCUUGGUGUAGCGGUGAAAUGCGUAGAUAUCAAGAGGAACACCAGUGGCGAAGGCGGCCCGCUGGGCAGUGGCUGACGCUGAGGCGCGAAAGCGUGGGGAGCAAACAGG